RNAcentral lists this ribosomal RNA (498 nucleotides) under uncultured bacterium. RNAcentral describes it as "partial 16S ribosomal RNA". It matches the Rfam family "Bacterial small subunit ribosomal RNA", at positions 28 to 508 of the family's 1533-position model. The record is from RNAcentral.
GAUGAACGCUGGCGGCGUGCCUAAUACAUGCAAGUCGAGCGAACAGACGAGGAGCUUGCUCCUCUGACGUUAGCGGCGGACGGGUGAGUAACACGUGGAUAACCUACCUAUAAGACUGGGAUAACUUCGGGAAACCGGAGCUAAUACCGGAUAAUAUAUUGAACCGCAUGGUUCAAUAGUGAAAGACGGUUUUGCUGUCACUUAUAGAUGGAUCCGCGCCGCAUUAGCUAGUUGGUAAGGUAACGGCUUACCAAGGCAACGAUGCGUAGCCGACCUGAGAGGGUGAUCGGCCACACUGGAACUGAGACACGGUUCAGACUCCUACGGGAGGCAGCAGUAGGGAAUCUUCCGCAAUGGGCGAAAGCCUGACGGAGCAACGCCGCGUGAGUGAUGAAGGUCUUCGGAUCGUAAAACUCUGUUAUUAGGGAAGAACAAAUGUGUAAGUAACUAUGCACGUCUUGACGGUACCUAAUCAGAAAGCCACGGCUAACUACGUGC